This 294-nucleotide ribosomal RNA is filed under the name uncultured bacterium. RNAcentral describes it as "partial 16S ribosomal RNA". The record is from RNAcentral.
GGACUACAGGGGUAUCUAAUCCCUUUCGCUCCCCUAGCUUUCGUUCAUCAGCGUCAAAAAAUUCCUAGUUACCUGCCUUCGCCCUUGGAGUUCCUAUCGAUAUCAACGGAUUUCACCCCUACACCGAUAGUUCCAGUAACCCCGAAAUAUUUCAACUCUUGCAGUAUUAUUCCCCUUUCCGAGGUUGAGCCUCGGGCUUUAAAGAAUAACUUACAAAAGCGCCUUUAGAAACGCUUUACGCCCAAUAAAUCCGGACAACGCUUGCACCUCUCGUAUUACCGCGGCUGCUGGCAC